This 493-nucleotide ribosomal RNA is filed under the name uncultured bacterium. RNAcentral's name for it is "bacterial SSU rRNA". It matches the Rfam family "Bacterial small subunit ribosomal RNA", at positions 7 to 482 of the family's 1533-position model. The record is from RNAcentral.
GAGGGUUUGAUCCUGGCUCAGGAUGAACGCUGGCGGCGUGCCUAAUACAUGCAAGUCGAGCGAACGGACGAGAAGCUUGCUUCUCUGAUGUUAGCGGCGGACGGGUGAGUAACACGUGGAUAACCUACCUAUAAGACUGGGAUAACUUCGGGAAACCGGAGCUAAUACCGGAUAAUAUUUUGAACCGCAUGGUUCAAAAGUGAAAGACGGUCUUGCUGUCACUUAUAGAUGGAUCCGCGCUGCAUUAGCUAGUUGGUAAGGUAACGGCUUACCAAGGCAACGAUGCAUAGCCGACCUGAGAGGGUGAUCGGCCACACUGGAACUGAGACACGGUCCAGACUCCUACGGGAGGCAGCAGUAGGGAAUCUUCCGCAAUGGGCGAAAGCCUGACGGAGCAACGCCGCGUGAGUGAUGAAGGUCUUCGGAUCGUAAAACUCUGUUAUUAGGGAAGAACAUAUGUGUAAGUAACUGUGCACAUCUUGACGGUACCUAA